RNAcentral lists this ribosomal RNA (499 nucleotides) under uncultured bacterium. Its description in RNAcentral is "partial 16S ribosomal RNA". It matches the Rfam family "Bacterial small subunit ribosomal RNA", at positions 28 to 507 of the family's 1533-position model. The record is from RNAcentral.
GACGAACGCUGGCGGCGUGCCUAAUACAUGCAAGUCGAGCGGACCAAACAGGAGCUUGCUCUUGUUUGGUUAGCGGCGGACGGGUGAGUAACACGUGGGUAACCUGCCCGUAAGACCGGGAUAACUCCGGGAAACCGGAGCUAAUACCGGAUAACACCGAAGACCGCAUGGUCUUUGGUUGAAAGGCGGCUUCGGCUGCCACUUACGGAUGGGCCCGCGGCGCAUUAGCUAGUUGGUGAGGUAACGGCUCACCAAGGCGACGAUGCGUAGCCGGCCUGAGAGGGUGACCGGCCACACUGGGACUGAGACACGGCCCAGACUCCUACGGGAGGCAGCAGGAGGGAAUCUUCCGCAAUGGACGAAAGUCUGACGGAGCGACGCCGCGGGAGCGAAGAAGGUCUUCGGAUCGUAAAGCUCUGUUGUUAGGGAAGAAGAGGCGCCGUUCGAACAGGGCGGCGCGGUGACGGUACCUAACGAGAAAGCCCCGGCUAACUACGUG